AUAAAUAAAAUAGAUUUCACAGAGAGACAUUCCUUAUUAGAUGACACACAACAUAAAUGUGCAUUCAGACUUAUGAAUAGUAGUAAAUUUACAAUAUAAUAUA
Ipomoea nil (Japanese morning glory) is the source of this 103-nucleotide long non-coding RNA. RefSeq lists it as uncharacterized. The record is from RefSeq and is a predicted model, not a curated record. NCBI's taxonomy places the organism in Eukaryota, Viridiplantae, Streptophyta, Magnoliopsida, Solanales, Convolvulaceae. The transcript is spliced from 3 exons.